UACCAGCACCCCGAGUGGUCGGGACGUUUUAUUGGGCCUAAAGCAUCCGUAGCCGGUUCUACAAGUCUUCCGUUAAAUCCACCUGCUUAACAGAUGGGCUGCGGAAGAUACUAUGGAGCUAGGAGGCGGGAGAGGCAAGCGGUACUCGAUGGGUAGGGGUAAAAUCCGUUGAUCCAUUGAAGACCACCAGUGGCGAAGGCGGCUUGCCAGAACGCGCUCGGACG
This 224-nucleotide ribosomal RNA is filed under the name uncultured bacterium. RNAcentral's name for it is "partial 16S ribosomal RNA". It matches the Rfam family "Archaeal small subunit ribosomal RNA", at positions 474 to 696 of the family's 1478-position model. The record is from RNAcentral.